AGAGUUUGAUCCUGGCUCAGAUUGAACGCUGGCGGUAGGCUUAACACAUGCAAGUCGUGCGAGAAAGUAUCUUCGGAUAUGAGUAGAGCGGCGGACGGGUGAGUAACGCGUAGGAAUCUACCUAGUAGAAGGGGAUAGCCCGAGGAAACUCGGAUUAAUACCGUAUACCUCCUUCGGGAGAAAGAAGGCCUCUCUUUGAAGCUUUCGCUACUAGAUGAGCCUGCGUAAGAUUAGCUUGUUGGUGAGGUAAAGGCUCACCAAGGCUACGAUCUUUAGCGGGUCUGAGAGGACGAUCCGCCACAUUGGGACUGAGACACGGCCCAGACUCCUACGGGAGGCAGCAGUGGGGAAUAUUGGACAAUGGGCGAAAGCCUGAUCCAGCCAUACCGCGUGUGUGAAGAAGGCCCUAGGGUUGUAAAGCACUUUAAGUUGGGAAGAAAAGUUAUUGGUUAAUACCCAAUGACCGUGACAUUACCAUCAGAAUAAGGACCGGCUAAUUCCGUGCCAGCAGCCGCGGUAAUACGGAAGGUCCAAGCGUUNAUCGGAAUUACUGGGCGUAAAGCGCGCGUAGGUGGUUUAUUAANUUGGGUGUGAAAUCCCCGGGCUCAACCUGGGAACUGCAUCCAAAACUGAUUUCACUAGAGUACGAUAGAGGGAGGUAGAAUUCACAGUGUAGCGGUGGAAUGCNUAGAUAUUGUGAAGAAUACCAAUGGCGAAGGCAGCCUCCUGGAUCUGUACUGACACUGAGGUGCGAAAGCGUGGGUAGCGAAC
This 771-nucleotide ribosomal RNA is filed under the name uncultured bacterium. RNAcentral's name for it is "bacterial SSU rRNA". It matches the Rfam family "Bacterial small subunit ribosomal RNA", at positions 8 to 773 of the family's 1533-position model. The record is from RNAcentral.